This 587-nucleotide ribosomal RNA is filed under the name uncultured haloarchaeon. RNAcentral describes it as "bacterial SSU rRNA". It matches the Rfam family "Archaeal small subunit ribosomal RNA", at positions 335 to 921 of the family's 1478-position model. The record is from RNAcentral. Lineage: Archaea; Methanobacteriati; Methanobacteriota; Halobacteria; Halobacteriales; Halobacteriaceae.
GCAGGCGCGAAACCUUUACACUGCACGACAGUGCGAUAGGGGGAUCCCAAGUGCACAGGCAUAGCGCCUGUGCUUUUCGGUACCCUAAGGCGGUACCAGAAUAAGGGCUGGGCAAAACCGGUGCCAGCCGCCGCGGUAAUACCGGCAGCCCAAGUGAUGGCCGAUCUUAUUGGGCCUAAAGCGUCCGUAGCUGGCCGUACAAGUCCAUCGGGAAAUCCACCUGCUCAACAGGUGGGCGCCCGGUAGAAACUGUGCGGCUUGGGGCCGGAAGGCGCGACGGGUACGUCCGGGGUAGGAGUGAAAUCCCGUAAUCCUGGACGGACCGCCGAUGGCGAAAGCACGUCGCGAGAACGGAUCCGACAGUGAGGGACGAAAGCCAGGGUCUCGAACCGGAUUAGAUACCCGGGUAGUCCUGGCCGUAAACAAUGUCUGCUAGGUGUGGCUCCCACUACGAGUGGGUGCUGUGCCGUAGGGAAGCCGCUAAGCAGACCGCCUGGGAAGUACGUCCGCAAGGAUGAAACUUAAAGGAAUUGGCGGGGGAGCACUACAACCGGAGGAGCCUGCGGUUUAAUUGGAUUCAACGCCGG